UAUAAGUUUUGGUUCUGAGUCCCAGAACCAAAAUGGAGUUACUAAUGUCUAGGGACCUAACAGUCUGUGGGCACCAUUUUGAUUUCUCCUGCUUCACAGUUUGUACAAGAGCACAGCAGCCUGGACACCAGCAGCAGACCUGCAGGUCCCUGCCUGUCAAAAAUUUUGCUUGACUUACCCAGCUCCCAGCAGGGAAUUCUCAACUGCACUAUGACAUGGCUUCCACUGCUUCUCCUCUUCUCCUUUCUUGGCCCUUCACAGAGCUAUGCUUGUCUGGAAGACCCAGAAGGUGAGUUGCCAUCUAGGAUGCCCAGGGUUCUUUCCACGCCUUCUCAGAUGCCCUGGACGCCACCCACUUCAAACAGCUCCUGUGGUAUGGAAAUUUUCCAGGCAGUUGUUUCUCAGCAAGGACCCUGCUCUUUCCCUU
This 427-nucleotide long non-coding RNA is filed under the name Marmota monax (woodchuck). The record is from RNAcentral. Lineage: Eukaryota; Metazoa; Chordata; Mammalia; Rodentia; Sciuridae.